This 441-nucleotide ribosomal RNA is filed under the name uncultured bacterium. RNAcentral's name for it is "partial 16S ribosomal RNA". The record is from RNAcentral.
GACUACCCGUGUAUCUAAUCCUGUUUGCUCCCCACGCUUUCGAGCCUCAACGUCAGUUACGGUCCAGUAAGCCGCCUUCGCCACCGGUGUUCCUCCUAAUAUCUACGCAUUUCACCGCUACACUAGGAAUUCCGCCUGCCCCUCCGACACUCCAGCCCGCCAGUUUCCAAUGCAGGCCCGGGGUUGGGCCCCGGGUUUUCACACCAGACUUGGCAGGCCGCCUGCGCUCCCUUUACACCCAGUAAAUCCGGAUAACGCUUGCCCCAUACGUAUUACCGCGGCUGCUGGCACGUAUUUAGCCGGGGCUUCCUCCCCAGGUACCGUCAUUUUCGUCCCUGGGGACAGUGGUUUACAAUCCAGAGGACCGUCUUCCCACACGCGGCGUCGCUGCAUCAGGGUUCCCCCCAUUGUGCAAUAUCCCCCACUGCUGCCUCCCGUAGG